AGUUGGAUGCUCAAUUGGCUGAGCCACACAGGUGCCCCACAUAGCUUUCAUUUUUAAAGGUUUCUCCAAAAUGCCCCUGGCUAAAUUUGGUUCCCAAAACCCAGCACCUUGCUCUUUUCUUUAAAAAAAAAAGUCUAG
Non-coding RNA from Leptonychotes weddellii (Weddell seal), 138 nucleotides. NCBI's taxonomy places the organism in Eukaryota, Metazoa, Chordata, Mammalia, Carnivora, Phocidae. The record is from RefSeq and is a predicted model, not a curated record.